GGGCAGUGUUUUGACAGGGCAAACUGAAGAGAAAGAACUGGGCGAGCGAGGGGGACCGGGAGCUGGGGCUCCAGAGCUAGAGGCAGCGGGCGGGCGAAGAGCUGGCAGAGGCGCGGGGCGAGCGGGCCGGACGGGGCGACGGGCAGGCGAAGCCCGGGGGCAGCGGGGCUCGGGUGCGAGUCGGGCAGGCAGGGCGAGGGGCUGAGCGCCGGGAGCGGAGCGAGGCGGAGGCCGAGGCGGGGGUGGAUGGCCACAGGGGCGCCGGGGAGCCGCGUCGGGCUUGUUGUCUCGGGCCCCCAUGGUCCUCUAACGCAGCCCCGGGGGCCGCUGCGCGCCACAUUCCGCUUUCGCCGGCCCUGCGCCUCUCGGAGCCUCACGUCUGAGGUGGGAGUGUGAUGUGAGCCGCUGGGCGAGCGGCGGAGAGAAGUGCCAAGAGGAGGAGGGAUUGGGACGGGAGAGGAGAGCGAGUUAGUCAGCAGAGGUCGGCCGAGGGAGCCAUGAAAACAACUCUCCGGCGGGGAAAAGGGCUGGCGCGGCGCUCCGGACGGCGUGGCUGAAGGAAAUCAGGGCCGCGGCGGGACGGAAGGGGGCCGCACGGGCAGGCUGCGCCGAGCAGGGGCGAGCGCCCGGCCGUAAACACCUUCCCGGGAAGACCUCGCAGGGCCGGGGGGUGGCAGGGGCGCCCCGGGACAGCCCAGUAGAGUUCGUUUGGGACUGGGGGCUGGGCACGAGGAGAUGACUCGCGUUUCUUUCUGACCCUCUCAUUGUGUCAACUUGGCCGCGGUUGAGGCAGGAAGACUAGCCAGAGGGUAACUACACAGGUGAGGCCCGGCGGGGCGGGCGGAGCUGUAGGCGAGGCGCUUGGGGUCUUGAAGAGUUUCCUGCGCCCAAGUCACCAGGUCGGAGCAUUUCUAUACCAGCCACUGCGGAGGUGCCACUGUUCCCAGCGGUAUUUUUCUUACAAAGGGCAUUUUAAAAACGGAGCAGUAGCCACAGAAUCGGCGGCGAGCCUGUUGAAAGAACCCACACGUGUAUUUCACAGCACCUUGGGUGGAAAUUGGCGUGAAGAUGAAGCCAGACCGAGAUUCCAGCUGGUAAGGUAGAGAAGGGCGCAUGGAAGAGUUAGGAACUAGAUGGGAGAAUACAUUCUUCAAAAGUGUCUUCAAAGUAUUAGUUUCAAGAGAUAUUAAAAAUGAAAUUGCCAAGAACAGCACGUGUAUCUGUUGCCACAAUACUUGGUAUCAUUUUAGAGUUACAUUACUCAUUUUUAGGUUCAAUCUAACUUCGAUUUUAAAGAAGUUUAAAAGUUUUUUCAACUUGAGAAUUUGAUCUUGAUAAACUGAGAAAAUUUAAAAUUGAGUUCACAAAUAUUAUUUGUCAUUGCUGAUUUUUGUGCUUUAGGCAAACUCUAAAAGUUUGCAGAGUACUCCAGGGCUUUGUCCAGUAUAUCAGUAUAUACACAGGGCUACUGAAAUCCCUAUAAUAAGUAACUGUAAAUGUGCCAUUUCCUUAAUAAACCUGUAUUUUCAGGACUUAUGGGAAUAAUGCAUAUACUGUGUUUCUCAAGGAUUUCAAAGGAAUUGAAAACUCAUUUAUCAAUCUGCUUUUGAUUGGCCAUUGCAAGGACCAACUUUAGAAGAUUUUAAUAUAGUGGUAGUAGGAGUUUGUCAUAUGGGAAUUUGAGUCCAAGGAACAUUGUAGGAAGAGGAUUAAUGUAUUUGGUAGGGAGUUGGACUAGAUGACAGAGUUCCUUCCGAAUCUGAGACUUUCAGAUUGGAAAUGUUAAUUUAUCUUUAUGAAUUAGAUGCUUAUUUUAAAAAAGAUAUGGGAGGGCUUCCCUGGUGGUGCAGUGGUUGAGAGUCCGCCUGCCGAUGCAGGGGACACAGGUUCGUGCCCAGGUCCGGGAAGAUCCCACAUGCCGCGGAGUGGCUGGGCCCGUGAGCCAUGGCCGCUGAGCCUGCGCGUCCGGAGCCUGUGCUCCGCAACGGGAGAGGCCACAACAGUGAGAGGCCUGCAUACCGCAAAAAAAAAAAAAAAAAGGGAAAUUCCGUGGCGGUCCAGUGGCUAGGACUCCGUGCUUCUUCUGCAGGGGGCACAGGUUUGAUCCUUGGUGGGGGAACUAAGAUCCCGCAGGCCUCGACAUGGCAGUCAAUCGAUCAAUCAAUAAAUGAUAAUUUAAAAGAAUAAAAUAAAAUAAUUUUAAAAGAUAUAUAUUAAACUGGUUAUUUUUUCCAUAUAUUUUUUCAAACUGGAUUAGAAAGUCAAAUUUUCUUUUCUAUUAAAAUACAUCUUUGGUAAUACUGUCUUAAAAUGCACUAGAAAGAAGUGGAGAAAGCCAUACUUAAUUUAGUGGAUUAGUUUAAGUGUUUGGUUGUUUCUUAAAAUCAGCUUUGUAUGAAUUAAGUAUUAGCAAGAAUAUUGUUACUAAGCAGGUUGCUUGUGUAGAAUGCCAAGUUUAGACUUUUAGAUUUCAUCUGUGACUUUGGAAAGAUGGCACCAAGGUCGGUAAUUGCAUCUCAAAAUAAACAAGCAAAGAAAAUCAGAGUUGCUCUUUGUUUUUUGUUUUUGUUUUGGUGGUUGUUGCAAAAGUCGCUUUAAGGUCCUACACAGGUUUGUUUGUUUGUUUGUUUAUUUUAAAAAUUUUGGCUGUACCAGGUCUUUGUUGAGGCACGCGGGAUCUUUUAGUUGCCUCAUGCACGCGGGAUUUAGUUUCCUGACCAGGGAUGGAACCUGAACCCCCUGCAUUGGGAGGGCAGAGACUUACCCACUGGACCGCCAGGGAAGUCCCCUAAGCAGUUAAAAAAAAUAGUAUUUGCACACAAUCUCUAUUUUAGCCAAAACUAGUACUAAACACAAUAAAAUGUUAUAUAUUAAUGUAGAUUACUAGGAAAAGUAAAUACAUUUAUGCAUCAAGACUCCUAAAAAGGAGACUUUUUUCUCGUUAAAAUUGUAGCUAUCUUUAGCAUUAUGAUGUAAAAAUGAGGUGAUUGAAAGUUUAGUAUUGUGACUAUAUUUUAUAAUAUGAGUCUUUAGGCCCAUGGCUUUCUUUUGACCAGGACCUAGAGUAAGAAGUAUCUUUUACUUUGCAAAGUAGUAUAGAAAUACUGAAAUAAACUUUACAAAACAUACUUACUCGUACUAUGUGCAGUGUGGUCUUGUACUUUCUGUUCUAUUUCUGUUGUUAAAAAUUGCUUGCAUAAUCCAUUGAAUUGAUUUCUUGACCUGUGGUUGGCAAGGCACAAUUAUGGGAGAGCUUGACAACAGUAAUACUUCACUUUUUCUACAUUGGUAACUAAGAAGCUAUUCUAUAUGAGUUAAUUUUCUGGCUAACUGAAACUUUACUCUUCAAAUGCCAAAAAUAUUUUCAGUUGUAAUCAUGAUAUGUGGACACAGAUUUUUUUUUCCUCUAGCUUAAACCACUUCAGCCUAUUUUUUUUAAGAUCUGAUUUUUGAAUUCCCAUGCUGUCAACAGUCUUUGUUGUCAGUAUGCUUAUUCUUGUCUCCUUUUAAUUUUACUGCUUUUAGUCUCUGGGAUAAAGAACUAGAUAACCAUGCUUAGCACUGAGUUCUCUAAAAAAUGAGAAUAAAUAGGAAAACCUUCAGAUAUUCACUCAGAAGCUAAGAAAGUAUACGAAUUCUAGUGUAGAAACUGUGAGAUAUUUGCUUAGUGGUAUACAGCUGUGCUUCAGAAAGUUUCUAAGUGCAAAAGGACCCUCUUAUCCUACAUGGUUGCAUGUGGUAGUUGGUUGGCUAAUUUAAAAAGUUUAAAUGAGGAAUCAGAAAAAAUAACAGCCUUAAUUAUUUCAUUUGUCUUUUGGUGUAGGCUCAAGGCCCUUUUUUGGGGGGUGAAAUGGGGUCUGUUUUUCAGAGUUAGAUAUGAUCUUCCCUAUGUAAACCACACCAAAAAUGUACACCUAAGAUUUCUACUUUCAAUUUCUUUAAAGUGGAAUAAGACUGCAAAAAAAUCCAAGGGUGGAAUAUUUUACAUUUAAAAAGUGUUAAAUUCUUUUUUAAUGUUUCACACAACUUUAUAGGUGUCUGUGUACACCAGGAAUUACAAGGAUAUUUGUGUAGUCAACAGAAAUUUGUUUUGGGAGGAGAGGGAAUAUAUAUUCAUCAAAAUUAUGUUCAUCAAAAUAUGUGCUUUCCAAAGCAUUCAACGUAGUUUUCACAGAAAUAACCUUUUUGUGCAUUCAUUUCAUUGAUUUAUAUAGUUUUAAAAUAAAUUCACAUAAGCAGAUUUGGGAAGAAACACCAGAUACUACUUAAGCAUACAACUCAACUAGUAGGAGUAGAAGUGUGCAGGCAACUGGAAAGUAACUUAUUAGCUGCUCAUGUCUGUCAGUUUGCUUCUAUGGAAGAUAUGGAAAGCAUUGGACAAUCUUGCUAGUUGAUUAAGUGAAAAUUAAAAGACCUUCUACUGUACUUCCAGAUAAUUAAGAUGUUACUGUACAAUGGCCAUAUUUCACAGUAGUCAAUAGAAUUUUACUAUAGUCUGAGGUAAAUCUUUUUUUUCCUCUUUUUUCUUUUUCUAAAUUUUUCAGCAGUUAUAUAACAUUACUUGUGCAAUGCUGCCAAAGAUGAGUCUUUGAUGUUAUCAUUAGCACAGGUUUUGGAAUCAGACCUGUAUUUGUAUCCUUGUUCCAUUACUUGCUAGCUGUGUAAUCUUCAUUAAUUUCCUUUAUCUUUGAGAGUCUCAGGUUCUUUGUCUGUAAAAUGGGGAUAAUUCCAACUUCUCAUAGUUGUUAGAAUGAAAUACGACACUGGUUGGCACAUAGUAGGUUUUAAAUAAAUGAUCAUUACCAUGUUAAACAAGAUAUUACAGGUGGUUAUAUGUUGGUCGGUUAUAAAAUAUGUUCAACAGAGGUAAAGAAAUAGUCAAAUGUGCAAUAACCUAAUAGUAUCUUGUUUCGUUUUGCAUUCAUAACGUGUAACCUGCUAAGGCUCAAGCAGAUUUAGUAGGCUUUUAAUGUAUAGUUAUCUGAGAAGAUACAAAAGCUAUGAAAGGAUGUUUGAUGUAUGUGUAAUUUAUUUCUGUGUCAUUUGUUAUUACAGUUACAUCUUAACCUCUAUAUGUAGGGGGUGGCAUGGGUGGACCAAGCUUCCUGGAAAUAUAUUUUUAAAUUCUGACUAGAGCUGGGCAGCUGGAGAGGUUAAACAAUGUUACUUCACCUUGUACUCAAGGAUGUAAAGUUUGGAUCUGAUCCUAGUUAGAUAUUGAAUGCCCAGUGUUUCAAGAGAUGUCUGAAGUAUGGUCUUUGCAUAGAAGCAAUUAAAGCAUUUUAUGUUUUUAACAUUUAAUAUUUAUUUAUGGUAUAAAUGUAUGGUAUUUAUAAUCUUGUUUUUGAAUGCAUAUUUUUUCUAUAAAAAUAUUUUUCAAAAUAAUAGAAUAUAA
Orcinus orca (killer whale) is the source of this 5395-nucleotide long non-coding RNA. RefSeq lists it as uncharacterized. The transcript has 3 exons. NCBI's taxonomy places the organism in Eukaryota, Metazoa, Chordata, Mammalia, Artiodactyla, Delphinidae. The record is from RefSeq and is a predicted model, not a curated record.